UAUAAGGCGGUGUUACUAGCUGCACGUAAGUUUUUGGUACUUAAAGAAAACGUAGUUUCCUUAUAA
Molecule: transfer RNA, 66 nt
Filed under: Cryptocelis alba
Lineage: Eukaryota; Metazoa; Platyhelminthes; Polycladida; Cryptocelidae
Description: tRNA-Gln
Source: RNAcentral